AGAGUUUGAUCAUGGCUCAGGAUGAACGCUAGCGGCAGGCUUAAUACAUGCAAGUCGAGGGGCAACAGGGGUAGCAAUACCUGCUGGCGACCGGCAAACGGGUGCGCAACACGUACAGAACCUUCCUUUAAGCGGGGGGAUAGCCCAUAGAAAUGUGGAUUAAUACCCCAUGGUAUUGUGGUAUGGCAUCAUACUAUAAUUAAAGAUUUAUCACUUAAAGAUGGCCGUGCGUCUGAUUAGGUAGUUGGUCGGGGUAACGGCCCACCAAGCCAACGAUCAGUAACUGGUGUGAGAGCACGACCAGUCACACGGGCACUGAGACACGGGCCCGACUCCUACGGGAGGCAGCAGUAAGGAAUAUUGGUCAAUGGACGCAAGUCUGAACCAGCCAUGCCGCGUGAAGGAUGAAGGCCCUCUGGGUUGUAAACUUCUUUUAUCUGGGAAGAAAUGCCUGAUUUUGAUUGGGUUUGACGGUACCAGAGGAAUAAGCACCGGCUAACUCCGUGCCAGCAGCCGCGGUAAUACGGAGGGUGCGAGCGUUAUCCGGAUUCACUGGGUUUAAAGGGUGCGUAGGUGGGUUGGUAAGUCAGUGGUGAAAUCUCCGUGCUUAACAUGGAAACUGCCAUUGAUACUACUGGUCUUGAAUUUUCUGGAGGUAAGCGGAAUAUGUCAUGUAGCGGUGAAAUGCUUAGAUAUGACAUAGAACACCAAUUGCGAAGGCAGCUUACUACAGGGACAUUGACACUGAGGCACGAAAGCGUGGGGAUCAAACAGGAUUAGAUACCCUAGUAGUCC
Molecule: ribosomal RNA, 795 nt
Filed under: uncultured bacterium
Lineage: Bacteria
Description: bacterial SSU rRNA
Rfam family: Bacterial small subunit ribosomal RNA
Source: RNAcentral